CAGUAGCAAAGUGAGACAGUGCGCGAACGUUCUAUCAUUAAUCGUAGAUUUUACUCAGUGAAAGUUUGUGUUAGUGCUAAUUUUUGUUGGAGUAUCGAUGGGUGAAUUGGAGCAACAGGCGAACGCAUUAUUUAUUUACGUGUUUUCAAAAGACACAGCAUUUUUGAAAUCCAUAAUUGCGGAAAAUGAUGACAAUAAUUGGAUCUAUUAUGUGCAUGGAUUCGUUAUAUUGGGCACUGCUAUAGCAAUGUAUCUAACCAGACGGAAUCUAGCUGCGUAGUAAUAUAUACAGCAAUCGAUCAACUUUGUGCGCGUAAUCGGUGCUACAAAAUAUAUU
Linepithema humile (Argentine ant) is the source of this 337-nucleotide long non-coding RNA. RefSeq lists it as uncharacterized. NCBI's taxonomy places the organism in Eukaryota, Metazoa, Arthropoda, Insecta, Hymenoptera, Formicidae. The record is from RefSeq and is a predicted model, not a curated record.